GCACCACUUUCGAGAUUUUAUUGACGGAGUUGUGACAUCUUUAGUGCCGAGUUCGAGUUCCCGCUUUGUGACAUCGGGAAAACGCAUUUCCCACGUAAGUACUUCUGAAAUAUUUGUGAAAUAAUUUUACAAGAAAGUUUGCAUGAUCGUGAUACUUAACUGUCUUUGUAAAGUUUCUUCCUCUGAAAACCUCAAAAUGUGUUUUUCACUGAAAGAGAUAAUAGAAUGUGAAUUUAAUUUAACUUGGAAGAGAAGUCAAGAAUAAGACGGGGAUUGAGGCCUUGAAAAUUAACUCCCAAAAAGCGCAAUUCCAUUAAUAUGUUGUUUUGUUGCCCAUCGAUGUUUUAACUGAAAAAUGUUUAUUUUUCUAGCCACAUUUCAAAAAUGUCCUUCAAAAUAACAUACGUAAUUUUUUUAAGAGAAUACCUUUUCAGACAUGUUCGUGUGGUCACUAUUGCUAUAAUUUAAGAAAAUUUCUGACUAAAUUCAUCAGUGAUUUUUAUUUUUAAAACAAUGGUUUGAAUACACAUGUUUCUACUAUUCUAGGCCUUAAAUCAUCAUUAUAAAAAUGGGGUCAUCAGGAAUGCACCAUUGGUAUUUUUACCUUUCACACUCAAGCCAAAGAAAAUGGGUACUCUGUUUAAGCUGGCGUUUGGAGCGAUAUUACCUGGUUUGGGGCCUAUAAUUUUCAACAAAUGGAUCAUCCCUAAAUUUUUUGGCACUUUAAAAACAACGGCAAUUAUUCUAUGGAAAUUGAUAGUGCCAGUAUGACGAAUAAAUCCAUCCAAGGUGCUCAGCCGAUACUAAGAUGUCACUGAAAAGAGCGAUAACCUCAGUUCUUCCGCUAGCGCUCUUUUUCCCGUUUUUGCCCGUAGCAAUUAGUGUCUUAUACGGAGAACUAGGCAAUCUACUUUUUUAUGUACCUGUGUUUCCUUUCAUGUUUCCACUGUUAAAGUUUCUCCACAAACCCCUGAAGGUCAUCGCAGUUGCUGUUAUUUAUCUUCAAUUGAGUAUCGGUUUAUUUAAUCUGAUUAUUAAACCAAAAUAAAGAAUUAGUAUAUCCUAUUUUGC
RNAcentral lists this long non-coding RNA (1071 nucleotides) under Bemisia tabaci. RNAcentral's name for it is "lncRNA ENSASIAIIG000661". Lineage: Eukaryota; Metazoa; Arthropoda; Insecta; Hemiptera; Aleyrodidae. The record is from RNAcentral.